CCCGCAGUUUUACGUCUUAAUUAGGAGCACUGUCAGAGGCACCCGGAGAACCUUCGUCCCAAUCAGAAGGGACAGAGAGGGAUGGAGACGGAGAGGGAGUGUGAAGGAUGCUAAGGAGGACAAAGUCAGCGAGUGAGUGAGGGGGGGGGAAGAAAAAAUGGAGAAGACGAAGGAUUUACGAGAAGAAUUUAGAGGGGUUUUGGAAGAGACACAAGCCCACAGCAUCACAGAUCCUCCACUGUUGCUAACAGUGUGCAUGAGGGGCUUUUUCACAUAUUCAUCUUUUCUUUCAUACUGGACCCACCUGGACUGUUUGUGGCAUAAAGAAAGUGCCACUGGCUGAGUGCCACAGAGUUUGUCUUUCCACUUUUCCUUAAAAAAAAAGUCUCUGGCAGACUUUUUAAAACCAUUAAAGUUGUGUUUAGCUGUGUACUCUGUUUUUCUGUACCAUAGAAAGUACACCUGGCCCAGUGCUUCUGCUUUUAGCUUAGUAUCUUUCCACAACAGAGCCAUGGGCAAAUAUGGCACUACCAUGUCAUUUGUGUUCUCCCCUUGUUUCCCAUAAAAAGUAAUCCUGACUCAUUGAUUCUG
Girardinichthys multiradiatus is the source of this 591-nucleotide long non-coding RNA. RefSeq lists it as uncharacterized. The transcript is spliced from 3 exons. The record is from RefSeq and is a predicted model, not a curated record. Lineage: Eukaryota; Metazoa; Chordata; Actinopteri; Cyprinodontiformes; Goodeidae.